CCUACGGGGUGCUGCAGUGGGGAAUAUUGGACAAUGGGGGGAACCCUGAUCCAGCCAUGCCGCGUGUGUGAAGAAGGCCCUCGGGUUGUAAAGCACUUUCAGUGAGGAAGAACGCCUGGUGGUUAAUACCCAUCAGGAAAGACAUCACUCACAGAAGAAGCACCGGCUAACUCCGUGCCAGCAGCCGCGGUAAUACGGAGGGUGCGAGCGUUAAUCGGAAUUACUGGGCGUAAAGCGCGCGUAGGUGGCUUGAUAAGCCGGUUGUGAAAGCCCCGGGCUCAACCUGGGAACGGCAUCCGGAACUGUCAAGCUAGAGUGCAGGAGAGGAAGGUAGAAUUCCCGGUGUAGCGGUGAAAUGCGUAGAGAUCGGGAGGAAUACCAGUGGCGAAGGCGGCCUUCUGGACUGACACUGACACUGAGGUGCGAAAGCGUGGGUAGCAAACAGGAUUAGAUACCCGAGUAGUC
Molecule: ribosomal RNA, 465 nt
Filed under: Vreelandella stevensii
Lineage: Bacteria; Pseudomonadati; Pseudomonadota; Gammaproteobacteria; Oceanospirillales; Halomonadaceae
Description: partial 16S ribosomal RNA
Rfam family: Bacterial small subunit ribosomal RNA
Source: RNAcentral